RNAcentral lists this ribosomal RNA (444 nucleotides) under uncultured soil bacterium. Its description in RNAcentral is "bacterial SSU rRNA". It matches the Rfam family "Bacterial small subunit ribosomal RNA", at positions 26 to 518 of the family's 1533-position model. The record is from RNAcentral.
AGAACGAACGCUGGCGGCAUGCCUAACACAUGCAAGUCGAACGAGACCUUCGGGUCUAGUGGCGCACGGGUGCGUAACACGUGGGAAUCUGCCCUUGGGUUCGGAAUAACAGUUGGAAACGACUGCUAAUACCGGAUGAUGACGUAAGUCCAAAGAUUUAUCGCCCAAGGAUGAGCCCGCGUCGGAUUAGCUAGUUGGUGGGUAAAGGCCUACCAAGGCGACGAUCCGUAGCUGGUCUGAGAGGAUGAUCAGCCACACUGGGACUGAGACACGGCCCAGACUCCUACGGGAGGCAGCAGUGGGGAAUAUUGGACAAGUGGGCGAAAGCCUGAUCCAGCAAUGCCGCGUGAGUGAUGAAGCCGUAGGUUGUAAAGUCUCGUUUACCCGGGAUGAUAAUGACAGUACCGGAGAAUAAGCCCGCUAACUCCGUGCCAGCACGGCCGC